Molecule: ribosomal RNA, 488 nt
Filed under: uncultured bacterium
Lineage: Bacteria
Description: partial 16S ribosomal RNA
Rfam family: Bacterial small subunit ribosomal RNA
Source: RNAcentral
GACGAACGCUGGCGGCGUGCUUAACACAUGCAAGUCGAACGAAAAUACCAAGCUUGCUUGGUUGAUUAGUGGCGAACGGGUGAGUAACACGUGAGUAACCUGCCCCUUACUUUCCUGGAUAACUGCUCGAAAGGGUAGCUAAUACGGGAUAUUCUGACCAGCCUGCAUGGGUUGGUUUGGAAAGGUUGUUUUUCUGGUAAGGGAUGGGCUCGCGGCCUAUCAGCUUGUUGGUGGGGUGAUGGCCUACCAAGGCUUUGACGGGUAGCCGGCCUGAGAGAGUGGACGGUCACACGGGGACUGAGAUACGGACCAGACUCCUACGGGAGGCAGCAGUGGGGAAUAUUGCACAAUGGGCGCAAGCCUGAUGCAGCGACGCCGAGUGAGGGAUGAAGGCCUUCGGGUUGUAAACCUCUUUCGUCAGGGAACAAGGCACUGCUUUUUUGGUGGUGUUGAGGGUACCUGGAGAAGAAGCGCCGGCUAACUACGUG